Molecule: long non-coding RNA, 707 nt
Filed under: Physcomitrium patens
Lineage: Eukaryota; Viridiplantae; Streptophyta; Bryopsida; Funariales; Funariaceae
Description: long non-coding RNA (PPAT_LNC003512)
Source: RNAcentral
AAAUUUCAAACAAGAUAGUUGUAAAAUUAAACUAAAACUGAAAUAAUUUCACAUUGUCAAAUAUUGAUUUGGACUCUGCCACUCAAAAUCAUAAUAUUAAAUAAUACACCACAGCUUUUAAAUUUUCAAUGCGUCUAAACUUAAAAAAAUUAUUUGAAAUUUAGUCAUGAUAUAAAUAAUGUUAAAAUACUAUAGAAUUAACGCAAAAUAAAUGAUUGAGUUGUUUUAUUCUAGUUUUUAGUUGAUUAGUUCAUGUUACUUUUAUAUUGACAAAAUAUGAAUAGUAGAAUGAAUAUGUACAUAUAUAGUAAUUUGCUAAAAAUUGGAAGAUUAAAGUGCAACAUGAUAACCAUUUGUUCUUUUGUGAAAGUAUGAAAUGAUUUGCAGGCAACAGACAAUGACAAUAAGUUAUAUAAGUUACAAACAAGACCAUAAGAUUUUUUAAACAAGUUUUAAGUAACGUUGACAAAUGAUUUUUAAAAAUUCAAAUUUUAAAAAUAAUUGUUCAUCAAAAUAGUGAAAUAAUACAAAAAUAAGGAACUUCUGAUAACACUUGCCAAUCACACUAUUGAAACAUGUUUUCUUGAAAUUAUCUAAAAGAAAAACCUGAUAUCUAGAAUUCUUAACAGAAGCCUGUAAAUACUUGUUUAAUUAUUGUUGGAAGAAAUUAAAACAACCUUAAAGAAACUUUUAGGAACAUUGUUCCC